Molecule: long non-coding RNA, 352 nt
Filed under: Androctonus crassicauda
Lineage: Eukaryota; Metazoa; Arthropoda; Arachnida; Scorpiones; Buthidae
Source: RNAcentral
GUCAAAGAUGAAUAAACAUAUUUCGUUGAUCAAUAUAGUUGCAGAUAAUAAGCAUAGAGUCCGUUAGUGGCACUGGCGGAUGCGGAGUUCAUUAAAGGCAUGAUGGGUUUGCUCGCGGAUGUUGGAGGGCUUUCUCAGGAGGUGUCUCCAGGGGGGAGGCGUGUCCUGAACUGGGUGGUCGUUGGGGUGGUGCUCCUGAUCGCUUCGAGGGGGAAUCUUGAGCAUUUCAGCCAUGGCGGUGUGCUUCUGCUUUUCUAUUUUUCGGACUGUUUUGGCUUCUUGCUAAUUUACACUCAUGUCUUUCUCGUAGACACUUCUGGCUGAUGCCGUACUUAACCUCUUUGUGCUGCAG